RNAcentral lists this transfer RNA (74 nucleotides) under Planctomycetaceae bacterium. RNAcentral's name for it is "tRNA-Lys". It matches the Rfam family "tRNA". From Rfam's summary of the family: Transfer RNA (tRNA) molecules are approximately 80 nucleotides in length. Their secondary structure includes four short double-helical elements and three loops (D, anti-codon, and T loops). Lineage: Bacteria; Pseudomonadati; Planctomycetota; Planctomycetia; Planctomycetales; Planctomycetaceae. RNAcentral also lists the same sequence under 1 other name. The record is from RNAcentral.
GCCUCCUUAGCUCAGUUGGUUAGAGCAGCUGACUCUUAAUCAGCGGGUCCAAGGUUCGAGUCCUUGAGGGGGUA